Long non-coding RNA from Apis florea (little honeybee), 249 nucleotides. The record is from RefSeq and is a predicted model, not a curated record. Lineage: Eukaryota; Metazoa; Arthropoda; Insecta; Hymenoptera; Apidae.
GCACCCGCCAUAUUCGCCAGAUCUGGCACCCUCGGAUUACCACCUUUGAUAUUUAUAGAAUUUUUUAGAUAAUAAAACGUUUACUUCAAAUAAGAAUGUCAAAAAUCACUUGAAUCAGUUUUUUGCAAACAAAGAUCAGAAGUUCUACGUGGAGUCAUGCUAUUAUUUAAAAGAUGGCAACCAUGUAUUGGACUACAAUGGUCAAUAUGUAAUUAAAUAAAAUAUAUACAUAAUGAUAAAAAAAAUUGU